AUAUCAAUAAGCGGAGGAAAAGAAACCAACAGGGAUUGCCCUAGUAACGGCGAGUGAAGCGGCAACAGCUCAAAUUUGAAAUCUGGCUCUUUCAGGGUCCGAGUUGUAAUUUGUAGAGGGUGCUUUGGAGUUGACUGUGGUCUAAGUUCCUUGGAACAGGACGUCGCAGAGGGUGAGAAUCCCGUAUGUGGCCGCCAGUCUUCUCCGUGUAAAGCCCCUUCGACGAGUCGAGUUGUUUGGGAAUGCAGCUCUAAAUGGGAGGUAAAUUUCUUCUAAAGCUAAAUAUUGGCCAGAGACCGAUAGCGCACAAGUAGAGUGAUCGAAAGAUGAAAAGCACUUUGGAAAGAGAGUCAAAAAGCACGUGAAAUUGUUGAAAGGGAAGCGCUUGCAGCCAGACUUGCCUGUAGUUGCUCAUCCGGGCUUUUGCCCGGUGCACUCUUCUAUAGGCAGGCCAGCAUCAGUCGCGGCGGUUGGAUAAAUGUCUGCACAAUGUACCUCUCUUCGGGGAGGACUUAUAGGGCAGGCGGCAUACAACCAGCUGCGAUUGAGGUCCGCGCAUCUGCUAGGAUGCUGGCGUAAUGGCUGUAAGCGG
This 592-nucleotide ribosomal RNA is filed under the name uncultured fungus. RNAcentral describes it as "eukaryotic LSU rRNA". It matches the Rfam family "Eukaryotic large subunit ribosomal RNA", at positions 40 to 647 of the family's 3401-position model. The record is from RNAcentral. Lineage: Eukaryota; Fungi.